This 202-nucleotide long non-coding RNA is filed under the name Lathyrus oleraceus (garden pea). RNAcentral's name for it is "Pisum sativum (pea) long non-coding RNA (PSAT_LNC033461)". The record is from RNAcentral. Lineage: Eukaryota; Viridiplantae; Streptophyta; Magnoliopsida; Fabales; Fabaceae.
GAAAAUAUGGUGGGAAAAGAAAAUCAGCAUAUCAUUUGAACUAAAAUGCCACAGGCCGGACUCGAACACAAACCAGAUUCAAAUAGCGCGCCUUGUCUCAAUGAAACGCGCCGUUUCAUUUAUGACUGGACUGUACAGUCAGCGCAUGGUCAAACAAUGCUAGCCAAUCACUUUGCCAUGCACGCGCGUAUGUGUACCAAUC